GCCAUUCUGAUGGCCUCUCCUCGGGAUUGCCGCCUUGGUUCGCCAAAACCCUAACAAAAUCCUCUCCGUCUUCUUCUCUCCUUCCUUAGCAACCCACGAUUCUGUAGGUCGGGAAAGAUUUCAGGAAAGAGGUCAUACGGAGAGCAUCUCUUAGGGGUUUUCCGUUAGCUCCGUUUCUCAUGGCCCAAUUCAACUCGUGCUUUGAGGAAGUAUGCUGGCAAAUAACUUUACAUCUUGUUUGAUUGGAAUUGGUGAUAUGGGGCAUAUGGUAUUCACACAACACACCAUGGGCGAUGUUCAUUGCUUUCGUGGAUUAUUCGCAUACUAUUCAAACCAUUGUUACAGUUCCAAAUCAUGCCCAUGGAUGAGAGCAUCCGCGGUUCACCUAGAUCAUGUGAACAAGCUCGAGCAUAAGCGUGACCCUUGUUUGCAUCAUGACAGUGUCAAUUCUUCCCAGGCUGCUCAUUAUAGGUCAGAGCAGAGAGGUAGUUCUUUAGAUGUGGUUAAUGGAAGUAGCAAGGUCAUUUAUAAUGCUGAAAAGGCGAUGAUAUCCACACACGCUAGACCUGUGCAGCUAUCGAAUUCUAAUGCAAAUGCCCUAACUCUUGAUGGGUACUAUGUGGAACAUGAUGAGGUGUCCAACAAUGAUGUUCUUCGUAAUUUCUGUGCAAAUGGGAAGCUCGUUGAAUCCUGCAACCUGAUUAAUGUCAUGGCACGAUUGGGUCAGGUCCCUGACUUCCCUUGUUGCAUUAACAUUAUCCGGGGAUUAGUCAAUGCUGAUAAAAUGGAAAAGGCCACUCGCGUUCUUGAGGUGAUGGUUAUGUCUGGGGGGGUCCCGGAUGUCAUCACCUACAAUAAAUUGGUUGGAGGUCUCUGUAAAAGAGGACAACUAAAUUCUGCAAUUAGAAUUGUACAAGAUAUGAGUUUCAGUGGUUGCCCUCCUGAUGUGAUCACAUUUAACACUUUAUUCCGGUCCAUGUUUGACCAGUGUAAGUAUGAUGAGGCAGUUUGGUUUUGGAAAGAUCAGUUAAAUAAAGGCUGCCCUCCUUAUCUAAUCUCUUACACGGUACUUCUUGAACUCAUAUGCAAGCACUGUGGUAUUCGACGGGCUAUGGAGGUUCUGGAUGAUUUAGCUUUUGAGGGAUGUCAUCCUGAUCUUGUGACUUAUAACUCUCUCAUCAAUUUGAUAUGUAAGGGAGGGAAGUGUGAGGAUGCAGCAACAGUUUUUGUUGAUCUUCUGGCACAUGGCUUGGAACCAAAUGCGGUCACAUAUAAUACCUUACUUCACUGUCUCUGCAGCAAGGGAAAGUGGGCUGAGGCUGAUGAUGUACUUGCAAUCAUGAACCAGGCUUCUUAUCCUCCUACUGUAGUUACCUACAAUAUCUUGAUCAACAGUUUGUGUAAAUACCAGCUUUUGGAUCGGGCAAUUGAUGUCUUACAUAGAAUGGUAAGUGAAGAAUGUUCUCCGGAUAUAGUCACUUACAACACUCUCCUGGCAGCUAUGUGUAAGAAGGACAUGACAAAGGAGGCUGUGGAUAUACUUCACUAUAUGAGGGACAGUGGAUUCUCUUUGGUUGUCAUAACAUAUAAUACUGUAAUAGAUAGAUUAGCAAAGAUGGGUGAUAUUAAGAAGGCAAUGAUUCUGUUUGAUGAGAUGGUCAAUGAUGGCAUUACUCCUGACGACAUCACUUAUGGUUCAUUGGUCAUGGGUUUUUGCAAGGAAGAUAUGGUGGAGCAGGCACUUGAGAUGUUGCAGGAGAUGAUUAAUAUCAACUGGAGAAUAAGAGGCAGUACGUUUACCCUUGUGAUACAGACAUUAUGUAGAAAUGGCAAGGUGGAUGCUGCUAUUGAAGUUUUAGAUAUGAUGAUAUCAAGAUGUAGCAAGCCCAACAAAGCAAUCUAUGCAUCGCUGGUAAAAGGAGUGGCUGCCUCUGGCAUGACAGAAGAGGCUACCAAACUGCGUAAGAAGUUGAUCGAGUACAAGAUCCUUAAGGAAGACUCUUGAGUUGGUAGAAUUGGGACUGUGGAGAUGCAAAUCUCCACUGAUUUGAGCUGCUGCUGCUCUGGGUCUCCUGCACUUUUGAUUCUGAAUGCUGCAACGGGUUGCUAUGUAUCUUCUGUUUCAAGAGGUAGUAAGCACGAUUCUCAAAAUUGGUUCUCUUUUGAGAAGCUAAAGCUGAUUCAUGACUCAUGAGUGCAUAGGAGUAUUUAGAAUUGCAAUCGGCCUUAACCCUUUUUCUGUGAGACUUUCUGAUGCCAAGAAGUAGCUCAGGUAACGAGAACUUCUGGCUUAUCAAUCCUUUGAGAAAAAUUCCUCUAUCGAGCUUAUCUGGACGCUCUUCGCCUGCAAUAAAUGGCUCCAUUCUAUUUUGCUUGCCUGAAAAUGGAUUUCGAUUCACAUACAUUUGAUUGCGGUACACCAGUCUCUUUGGUAUCCCUGUGUUUUCUAACUAUGUUUAAGGCCUACGUACUGCUCACUCCAAGCUGCAAUAGUGCAUCCAAACAGCUGAAAUUUGUGAGAGUGCACCUUAGGGGAUGCAUCAUCAUAUAAGCAACUGCGAGCAGGGUUCAGAAACGUUUUGAGACCUGAACUUGUGAAUAUAUCAUCCAUCUAUGAAGAUUGAAGAAUAUAUAUAUUUCUUGAAUGCAGAUAUUAGAUGAACUUUGUAGGCAAAAGGGUUUCAUCAACUUGUUGAGAUUUGGUUCUGCUUCCUUUUCAAUUUUAAGAAACGAAACAUGGGAAUCAAUUUUCUAUAGCUGCUUCCUGUUAAUGAAGCUUGACCAUUGUUUUGAGGCUCUUAGACGGUACGUUGUUAUAAAUAAUAGUUUAUUCUUAUCGCUGUCUGGUUGAGAAUCUAGACCUCAUUGUUUAUUCUUUGCGGUAAAUCAUGUAUCUGAGUGUUUUAUGAAAAAUUGGAGGGUUACCAAAAAAAAAUGGUGGAUUCUCAUUUUUCUCUAGUUCUCUUCUCCAGUCCCUUUUCUUCCAAUGCCCCCGUCUACCAGCAAGAUCUUCCAACUUUGUAAACAGG
This is an RNA transcript of Phoenix dactylifera (date palm), 3029 nucleotides long. It is a transcript of the gene named Pentatricopeptide repeat (PPR) superfamily protein, with no coding region annotated. The record is from RefSeq and is a predicted model, not a curated record. Lineage: Eukaryota; Viridiplantae; Streptophyta; Magnoliopsida; Arecales; Arecaceae.